Molecule: long non-coding RNA, 422 nt
Organism: Papaver somniferum (opium poppy)
Lineage: Eukaryota; Viridiplantae; Streptophyta; Magnoliopsida; Ranunculales; Papaveraceae
Exons: 3
Source: RefSeq, a predicted model, not a curated record
AAUCUUUUCAACACGUUUCUCAAAUUCCAGCCACCAAAUAUUCUAUAAAUUUGUUCAUGUUCAAGUGAAUCUACAAAGCACAAGAGUUCAAUUGAAAACUAAUUCAGUUCUUUAUCAGAUACGUAAUUUUGUCGAUAUUUUUUUGGAAGAUCAUGGCCAAAGCUCAACAUUCUUAAUAGUCACGAGUAGCUUCUUUGAAACCUACUCAAAAAAAGAAAUAACUAGCUUCUUCAGCAAAUUCAUUCUUAAUAGGCACGAGCGGACAGUCUUAUUGCUGUAUAUAGUCAGUUGAAGCCCUACCGAUGCUGGAUUUGAAUAUUUUUGUACCAAAAAAAUAGCUGUUGCACGGAGAAAGAUGCACCAGUAGUAGUGCGGCAGAUAUAUCCUAACCCUUGGAAGUACUACUCAUGUCAUGUAAUAUG